GAUCCUGACUCAGGAUGAACGCUAGCUACAGGCUUAACACAUGCAAGUCGAGGGGCAGCGGGAUUGAAGCUUGCUUCAAUUGCCGGCGACCGGCGCACGGGUGAGUAACGCGUAUCCAACCUUCCGCAUACUCGGGGAUAGCCUUCUGAAAAGGAGAUUAAUACCCGAUGGUAUCAAGAGAUUGCAUGAUAACUUGAUUAAAGAAUUUCGGUAUGCGAUGGGGAUGCGUUCCAUUAGG
RNAcentral lists this ribosomal RNA (238 nucleotides) under uncultured bacterium. RNAcentral describes it as "partial 16S ribosomal RNA". It matches the Rfam family "Bacterial small subunit ribosomal RNA", at positions 15 to 245 of the family's 1533-position model. The record is from RNAcentral.